Molecule: ribosomal RNA, 749 nt
Filed under: uncultured Gammaproteobacteria bacterium
Lineage: Bacteria; Pseudomonadati; Pseudomonadota; Gammaproteobacteria
Description: bacterial SSU rRNA
Rfam family: Bacterial small subunit ribosomal RNA
Source: RNAcentral
AGUCGAACGGUAACGACACUAGCUUGCUAGUGGGCGACGAGUGGCGGACGGGUGAGUAACGCGUAGGAAUCUACCUAGUAGUGGGGGAUAGCCAAGGGAAACUUUGGGUAAUACCGCAUACGAUCUAAGGAUGAAAGGGGGCCUCUCUUUGAAGCUCUCGCUAUUAGAUGAGCCUGCGUAAGAUUAGCUUGUUGGUGAGGUAAUGGCUCACCAAGGCGACGAUCUUUAGCUGGUCUGAGAGGAUGAUCAGUCACACUGGAACUGAGACACGGUCCAGACUCCUACGGGAGGCAGCAGUCGGGAAUAUUGGACAAUGGGGGAAACCCUGAUCCAGCCAUGCCGCGUGUGUGAAGAAGGCCCUAGGGUUGUAAAGCACUUUUAGUAGUGAGGAAGGCUCAGUAGUUAAUACCUACUGGGAUUGACGUUAGCUACAGAAAAAGCACCGGCUAAUUUCGUGUCAGCAGCCGCGGUAAUACGAAAGGUGCAAGCGUUAAUCGGAAUUACUGGGCGUAAAGCGCGCGUAGGCGGCUUGGUAAGUUGGAUGUGAAAGCCCCGGGCUCAACCUGGGAACUGCAUCCAAAACUGCCUAGCUAGAGUAUGGUAGAGGAUGGCGGAAUUUCCUGUGUAGCGGUGAAAUGCGUAGAUAUAGGAAGGAACAUCAGUGGCGAAGGCGGCCAUCUGGACCAAUACUGACGCUGAAGUGCGAAAGCGUGGGGAGCAAACAGGAUUAGAUACCCUGGUAGAAGGGC